CCUACGGGGGGCAGCAGUCGAGAAUCAUUCACAAUGGGGGAAACCCUGAUGGUGCGACGCCGCGUGGGGGAAUGAAGGUCUUCGGAUUGUAAACCCCUGUCAUGUGGGAGCAAAUUAAAAAGAUAGUACCACAAGAGGAAGAGACGGCUAACUCUGUGCCAGCAGCCGCGGUAAUACAGAGGUCUCAAGCGUUGUUCGGAAUCACUGGGCGUAAAGCGUGCGUAGGCUGUUUCGUAAGUCGUGUGUGAAAGGCGCGGGCUCAACCCGCGGACGGCACAUGAUACUGCGAGACUAGAGUAAGGGAGGGGGAACCGGAAUUCUCGGUGUAGCAGUGAAAUGCGUAGAUAUCGAGAGGAACACUCGGGGCGAAGGCGGGUUCCUGGACAUUAACUGACGCUGAGGCACGAAGGCCAGGGGAGCGAAAGGGAUUAGAUACCCUAGUAGUC
RNAcentral lists this ribosomal RNA (446 nucleotides) under uncultured bacterium. RNAcentral describes it as "partial 16S ribosomal RNA". It matches the Rfam family "Bacterial small subunit ribosomal RNA", at positions 338 to 795 of the family's 1533-position model. The record is from RNAcentral.